Molecule: ribosomal RNA, 372 nt
Filed under: uncultured organism
Description: bacterial SSU rRNA
Rfam family: Bacterial small subunit ribosomal RNA
Source: RNAcentral
CGUAGGGGGCAAGCGUUGUCCGGAUUUAUUGGGCGUAAAGAGCGUGUAGGCGGCUAGGUAGGUCCGUUGUGAAAACUCGAGGCUCAACCUCGAGCCGUCGAUGGAAACCAUCUAGCUAGAGUCCGGAAGAGGAGAGUGGAAUUCCUGGUGUAGCGGUGAAAUGCGCGGAUAUCAGGAAGAACACCCGUGGCGAAGGCGGCUCUCUGGUACGUGACUGACGCUGAGACGCGAAAGCGUGGGGAGCGAACAGGAUUAGAUACCCUGGUAGUCCACGCCGUAAACGAUGGGUGCUAGGUGUGGGCGGUGUCGACUCCGUCCGUGCCGAAGCUAACGCAUUAAGCACCCCGCCUGGGGAGUACGGCCGCAAGGCUA